Molecule: ribosomal RNA, 99 nt
Filed under: Agaricicola taiwanensis
Lineage: Bacteria; Pseudomonadati; Pseudomonadota; Alphaproteobacteria; Rhodobacterales; Paracoccaceae
Source: RNAcentral
AGCGAGGUGGCUAAACCCGAUCCCAUCCCGAACUCGGCCGUUAAACGCCUCCGCGCCAAUGGUACUUCGUCUCAAGACGCGGGAGAGUAGGUCUCUGCC